CCUACGGGGGGCAGCAGUGGGGAAUUUUGGACAAUGGGGGCAACCCUGAUCCAGCCAUGCCGCGUGCGGGAAGAAGGCCUUCGGGUUGUAAACCGCUUUUAGCCGGGAAGAAAAGGCGAUCUCUAAUACGGGUCGUUCUUGACGGUACCGGCGGAAUAAGCACCGGCUAACUACGUGCCAGCAGCCGCGGUAAUACGUAGGGUGCGAGCGUUAAUCGGAAUUACUGGGCGUAAAGCGUGCGCAGGCGGGUGCAAGCCCCGGGCUCAACCUGGGAACGGCAUUGGAACCUGGCGGGCUAGAGUGUGGCAGAGGGGGGUGGAAUUCCGCGUGUAGCAGUGAAAUGCGUAGAGAUGCGGAGGAACACCGAUGGCGAAGGCAGCCCCCUGGGCUGACACUGACGCUCAGGCACGAAAGCGUGGGGAGCAAACAGGAUUAGAUACCCUGGUAGUC
This 450-nucleotide ribosomal RNA is filed under the name uncultured bacterium. RNAcentral describes it as "partial 16S ribosomal RNA". It matches the Rfam family "Bacterial small subunit ribosomal RNA", at positions 338 to 795 of the family's 1533-position model. The record is from RNAcentral.